AGCGAACGCUGGCGGCAGGCCUAACACAUGCAAGUCGAACGAACCUUUCGGGGUUAGUGGCGGACGGGUGAGUAACACGUGGGAACGUGCCUUUAGGUUCGGAAUAACUCAGGGAAACUUGUGCUAAUACCGAAUGUGCCCUUCGGGGGAAAGAUUAAUCGCCUUUAGAGCGGCCCGCGUCUGAUUAGCUAGUUGGUUGAGGUAAUGGCUCACCAAGGCGACGAUCAGUAGCUGGUCUGAGAGGAUGAUCAGCCACAUUGGGACUGAGACACGGCCCAAACUCCUACGGGAGGCAGCAGUGGGGAAUCUUGCGCAAUGGGCGAAAGCCUGACGCAGCCAUGCCGCGUGAAUGAUGAAGGUCUUAGGAUUGUAAAAUUCUUUCACCGGGGACGAUAAUGACGGUACCCGGAGAAGAAGCCCCGGCUAACUUAGUG
This 434-nucleotide ribosomal RNA is filed under the name uncultured bacterium. RNAcentral's name for it is "partial 16S ribosomal RNA". It matches the Rfam family "Bacterial small subunit ribosomal RNA", at positions 29 to 507 of the family's 1533-position model. The record is from RNAcentral.